CCUGUCGCUGAGGUGCAGCGGUGUCCUAUGUCGUGAGGACCAGAGGUAACAGGCUGAGGUGAAGAGAGUGAGAAGACCUGCGCAGGGUUAACUUUCCUCUGACUGAUAGUGAAGAGCUGAUGACGCGUGGAACAUUUACCUUUGCUCUGCCAAAAAGACUGGACACGAACGGCCAGAGAGAGAGGGAAGUGAGGCCAACUGUCAGCAUGGCGCGAUGAAAGAAGCUCACCACCUGGGGGCAGCAAAGAGUGUGCCCUGACCUGUCUGAGGAGGCUGGGAUUUCUGUCCAGGCUGGCAUGAGUCUUCAGUAUGACCAGGACAACAUAUGAGGUCCAGCCGACAAAUCCAAACACCACACUGCAACCCAGGAAGAACCUGUCGUAGUUGUGGUAGUAGACGAGGCCCUCCAGAGAACGAGAUAUCAGAGCCUGGCACAGAGAGAUCUGGAAGGGACACGUGAAGGGACACAGGGCGCUUCAGCAAAAGUGAAUGAUGUAUGGAGAUAGUGGAAAGAAGAUUAAUAUAUACAGGAAUGUAAAGUAGCCGAUCAAAUCAGAAGGAAAACAACACCAUGCAAGCAAGGCAGACACAGUGUAGGUUUGUUGAUCUAGGCAGGAUUUAUCGCAGUUAAGCUGGUUCCAUUAAUGUCAGGCAGUGUCAGCGAGGUGUUACUCACCUGUUUGUUUUACUUUGCAACAGAGUGGACUAAUGCACCUUUAGUGUAAUGUCAACACCAUGUUUCAACACGAGCUUAAUGUAUUAAAUGACCCAGGAUUAAUCUAUAAUUCACUGAUUUCUAAAUACUCACAGCGUCUUCAUACUUCUCCAGCUGAAUCAGUAUUCUGGCCUUGUGUGUAAAUUCUGCUUGUUUUGACUCAGUUAGAGGCCUGGGAAAACAGUGAGGCAGAAAGAUUGAAGUGUGUUUGUGGUGCCUUGAAUUUAAAUGGAGUCUUACAUGUGUUGUGAUGUCUUUUUUUUUUCUUUCAUAUUUAACAAAAACAACACAUUCAAAACAUUGCAUUUUUUUCUGCUUAAAUGUUGCAAAUGCCACAAACAGAAUCCCCGAUCAAGAAACCUUUUUAUUAGAGUUCUCAAUGAAGAAAAUCCUCAAACCAUGCAAACACAUGAUGAGAAUGGAAAUGGAUCCUUUAAAAAGACUGAACACACAGCAAAAA
Molecule: non-coding RNA, 1175 nt
Organism: Labrus bergylta (ballan wrasse)
Lineage: Eukaryota; Metazoa; Chordata; Actinopteri; Labriformes; Labridae
Source: RefSeq, a predicted model, not a curated record